GAGUAGUAAUCAGAGUUGGGAGAUCUUUGGAGGAGUUUGGGAGCUUAAGGGCGAGGCCGGUACGGACGGCCGUACGGAUGGUACGGCCUGUACGGACAUGAUCGACUCAAGACUUAUGGACUCGACCAUUUGAAGAUAUUUGAGGGCUGUGCAAAUAUAGGGCAUUGGUGUACGGUUAUGGCAAGUCCGUACAGCCAAGGAGAAGCUCUAAUAUGAAUGUGCAAAGUCCGGGAUGGUGAGAAGCAUCAAAUGGAAUCAAGAAGAUGCUUUGGUGGCAAGAAGAUUCAAACAAGAGUUGGCGCCAGUUUGUGGGAAGUAUGGGAUUGGUUGUAGUGGUCCACGACAGGCUGGCCACAGCUGGAAAGGAAGAGCAAGACAAGGUUGUGUAUCUGGACAGUUAAAUGGGCAGAUACACAAGUUCUCCUCACCAUACUUUCCCUCAUCCAAUCAGGCACAUACAAGCAGCUAGUAAAGCACCAAGA
Molecule: long non-coding RNA, 482 nt
Filed under: Brassica napus (rape)
Lineage: Eukaryota; Viridiplantae; Streptophyta; Magnoliopsida; Brassicales; Brassicaceae
Description: long non-coding RNA (BNAP_LNC017120)
Source: RNAcentral